GCAGAGGAAACUCCUACCAGAUGAAGAUGCAGAGUGAUGUAAAGCAGGAGGAUGUACGUUCCAGGAAACAAUUACUCUGGCUCUUUGCAGAGCAAAAAGAAGAAAGGGAGUAAAAUCUAAAACAUUAAUUCCACACCCCUCCACAUCCCCCCAUCCUUCUUUCACAGGAGUCCACCCAGCCGUUCAGAGCCUACUGCUGACAGGAGUGCCUGGAGCAACCAGACUUGGAUGGGAGAUGCUGGUG
Long non-coding RNA from Motacilla alba alba, 244 nucleotides. RefSeq lists it as uncharacterized. The record is from RefSeq and is a predicted model, not a curated record. NCBI's taxonomy places the organism in Eukaryota, Metazoa, Chordata, Aves, Passeriformes, Motacillidae. The transcript is spliced from 3 exons.